Molecule: ribosomal RNA, 304 nt
Filed under: uncultured Planctomycetota bacterium
Lineage: Bacteria; Pseudomonadati; Planctomycetota
Description: bacterial SSU rRNA
Rfam family: Bacterial small subunit ribosomal RNA
Source: RNAcentral
AAUGAACGUUGGCGGCGUGGAUUAGGCAUGCGAGUCGUGCGAUAACCCCGCAAGGGGGGAAAGCGGCGCAAGGGAGAGUAACGCGUGGGUACCUACCCUCAGGUCCGGAAUAGCUGCGGGAAACUGCAGGUAAUGCCGGAUGAUAUCCCCGGAUCAAAGGUGUGAUUCCGCCUGGGGAGGGGCCCGCGUUCUAUUAGCUUGUUGGUAGGGUAAUGGCCUACCAAGGCUACGAUGGAUACCGGGUGUGAGAGCAUGACCCGGCUCAUUGGGACUGAGACACUGCCCAGACACCUACGGGUGGCUG